Non-coding RNA from Amborella trichopoda, 1080 nucleotides. NCBI's taxonomy places the organism in Eukaryota, Viridiplantae, Streptophyta, Magnoliopsida, Amborellales, Amborellaceae. The record is from RefSeq and is a predicted model, not a curated record.
UUUAAAAUUCUAGACAACUAUCUUCUAUACCGAACAGGCAUUCUCUCUUUGCAGCCCCUUCUGUCGCCCAACCCUUCUCUCUCUCCAGAUCUCUCGAUCCCCUCUCUCUCCUCUCUUGUGACCCAUCUCUCGGCGUGUCCUUCUUGUUUCUUUCUUGUUUCUCUGCCGCCUCACUCUAUUAUUGCUCAUCGCUUGAAGCAAGCCCUAGGCCACCUCCUCAACUUCUCUUUCCCCAAAUCGAAGAGGCCUUCUACAUGUAUCGAUUCCCCUCUAAUUACUACUGCUCUCUCUCUCUCUCUUGGUUUUUCUUUCUUUUUUACAAGAUCCAUGUUUUUUUUGUAUUGUGACGCAGACGUGAAUGAGGUUCUUUGCAAAUUGGAGCUCACAAUGCGAAGGCCAUUUUCCAGUGGAUCUGGGAAAUAAGGAGAAGGGAAUCAAAUUUAAAUUAGUUCCCUAAAUUCUCAUUGAGAAGAACAAUGGGAAUAAGACGGUGCAUCAGAAAGGUUACUUGGUAGAGUGAGGUCUAUAGGAUGUAGUUGAUGGGACAGAACCAAAAUCGAUUGCUCGAGAUAGCAUCUCCGCAAGGACUAGACCUAAAAGCAUGUGGAUAGCGCCUCUUGUGGGUACGUUGAAGCUCAAUUUUGAUGGAAGUUCUCUUGGUAAUCCAAAGAUAGCUAGUAUUGGUGGCAUUCUGAGAGACUGUGAUGGUAAUACGCUCUUUUGAUAUGCUGGGCCGAUAGGGUAUGCAACGGCAAAUUUCUUUGAACUGCGUAUGCUCUAUCAAGGUUUGGAGAUUUUUAGAGACAGAAACUGUGGCCAUUCAUGCUGGAUAGAGGGGGACUCUCUUAAUGUGGUUAAGUGGUGUAAUAAAGAAUAAUUUAUUCUUUGGAAACUUAGAUCUCUCUAGUUACGCAUCACGGAUUUGUCUUUUACCAUUACGGUCUCUUUCACUCAUAUUUACCAAGAAGCAAACUCGACGGCAGACUGUUUGGCCAUGGGGGCUGCCUCUUUAUCUUCUCUUGUUACCUCUGAUAAUGUAAUAACGUUCCAAAAGCAUUAAUAAGACCAUUAACAUUUGUC